UUUCAGUAUUCGGCAGUUUGCUGUUACAGCAAUAAAUGACGUUUUAAGGGUGUGGAAAAUAGAUUAUAAAUACUGGAGACUAUACAUGCAUACUUCUGGCAGCUCUGGUUUCUUAGGUCUAUGAAGACUGGCAUUAAAAUAUCAGAAAAUGAGAGAAUACAUUUUUUUCAGUGUUCCAGCCUUCUACAUUGUGAAAAAAAUAUGUGAUAUUAAUUUAUGUUCCCUAUUGUAUUAAACUCCUUUUAAUGUAAAACAAUAUAGGCUUAGAUUACAAGUGGAGCGCUAUUUAGCACUUUUCCUUGAGUGUAAACUAUACCCAGAAGAUAGCUUUUUGCACACGUAUCACAAGUUGAAAGUAAAAUGAUUUUUUUUUUUUUUUAAUUCUAAAUAAUCCAUAGAAUAUAUCUAUAUUGUUUACAGUUUGAAUAAUAAUAUGGAAUUUCAAUUGUGGCUAUCCAAGAUGAGUACAGUUCAGGUGAGAGCAUCUGUGCAAAAAUCCUGAUGCGUUUUGAAGUAGUUCCUUCUUCGUCAGAGGAUUGAAAUUCAUUUUAAACCUUCAAAAUACUUCAGGAUUUUUGCGCAGACGCUCCCAUCUGAACUGUGCUCAUUUUGGAUUAAACUUCCAUACAGAAGUGGAGUUGAUCAAGUUGGUGCCACCAAGGCUCUCCCUCCAACUCGCGACACGUCAUAGGAUUGAGGGAACCAAUUGAAAGUAGGAACCAUGACGGGGCACUCCAUUGUUACAACAUUUACCUCACAUUUUGGGGUUUCACCAGUUUUUUUCUUUUCUUUUGGGACCCUUUAACUUGUGGUGAGAAUAUAUAUGCUCUACCACAAAAUGAAGAACAUUUAAUUAUAUUGAAUUUAAAAAUAAUUUAACUCUGUGCUACCGCUAUCCUCCCCCUUGUCUUUGUAAUGUUAAUUUUUGUCAAUGCUGAUAUAUUUUGAGAAGAUAUAUUAAGCAUAUAAAGGAGAUUUGGCUGCAUAAAUUGUUUUUCAUUCACCUUAUGUAGUAGAAUUAUAUUUACACUGGUUUGCCUAGUACAACUUAACACAAAUAUAGGGACUUUGCACCACAUACCCAACACCUGUAAUUAUUUAUAUAUGUAAAGAAAUAAAAUCUGAUAGCGUUCCUAAAUAUCACAUUAUUUUUCGUCUACAAAUUGUUUUCAUCCAUUGAAAAUGUAUGUAUUUAUAUCUAUGUAUGUAUCUGGUCUGAUCUUUUAAAAGCUGUUGACUUUCAUAGACAUUUAAGUGACUAACCAAACUUAGCUCUGGCUAAUCAAUGUAUGUUCUACUUUAAAAUGUCUCCUUUACAUUUGUUGGUGCUAUUUAUAAGCAUAAAACAGAGGGUUUUCAUGUACCUCCAUACCCAAAAAUAAAGAUUGAACAUAGUCAAAUGCUUUAAAAACUACCUAUAACUUUUAUACAGCGUUUUGGUCUUUUGGCAGCCCUCAGAUUAAGUAUUAGGUGUGCUAACCAAACCCUACCAAUUUAUUUGUAUAAACAUAUCUAUGAUAAACAACCACAUAUCACUCCAUCAUACAACUUCUGAUAAACACUCAGGGGUUGAUUACUAUCCUCUAGAAAACUAUGUUUUUUUCCAAAAAAAAAUCAGCAUUUAAAAUCUAUAGAGAUUUUUGAAGAUAGAUCAUUUGAUAAAUAUUUUAAAUGAUUGUAAAAUAACCCUCAAUUUCUAAAAAAAAAAAAUCAUAAAAAAAUAAAAAGAAAUAUUGAACCAAAAACUUUGUAUCAACAUUUCAAGGUAAGGUAUAUGACUAAAGAAGAGAGCAUGAAGGAUUUACCAUGGGACGGACGCAUUGAGGAGAAUAAAUAAAGAUUUUGGAACAAAAAUGUCUUACUUUUAUUUGUAACCUUUCAAUAUAUCAUUAUUUAUCAGAUGUAUUAAUUACUAAAAAAUAAAUACAUUUCCAACCACUUUAA
Long non-coding RNA from Bombina bombina (fire-bellied toad), 1944 nucleotides. RefSeq lists it as uncharacterized. Lineage: Eukaryota; Metazoa; Chordata; Amphibia; Anura; Bombinatoridae. The record is from RefSeq and is a predicted model, not a curated record. The transcript has 2 exons.